Ochotona princeps (American pika) is the source of this 92-nucleotide small nuclear RNA. The record is from Ensembl. NCBI's taxonomy places the organism in Eukaryota, Metazoa, Chordata, Mammalia, Lagomorpha, Ochotonidae.
AUGUACUCAACUACAUACAUUAUAAAAUGGAAUGAUACAGAGAAAAUUAACAUGAACCCUGCAUAAGGAUGGUGAAGGUGAAGCAUAUUAUG